RNAcentral lists this ribosomal RNA (422 nucleotides) under uncultured bacterium. Its description in RNAcentral is "bacterial SSU rRNA". It matches the Rfam family "Bacterial small subunit ribosomal RNA", at positions 355 to 774 of the family's 1533-position model. The record is from RNAcentral.
UGAGGAAUAUUGGGCAAUGCCCGCAAGGGUGACCCAGCAACGCCGCGUGGAGGAUGAAUGUCGUAAGAUUGUAAACUCCUGUUAGAGGGGAAGAAUAGUACCGGUUGGACCGGUAUAUGACUGUACCCUCAGAGAAAGCCCCGGCUAACUACGUGCCAGCAGCCGCGGUAAUACGUAGGGGGCAAGCGUUGUCCGGAUUUACUGGGUGUAAAGGGCGCGCAGGCGGGAUAAAAAGUCAGUGGUGAAAUCCUACAGCUUAACUGUAGAACUGAGUUGGAUACUUUUAUUCUUGAGUACGGGAGAGAGUGACGGAAGUUCGGGGGUAGUGGUGAAAUACGUAGAUAUCUGGAAGAACACCAGUUGCGAAGGCGGUCUCUUGGUCCGACACUGACGCUGAGGCGCGAAAGCGUGGGGAGCAAACA